This 488-nucleotide ribosomal RNA is filed under the name uncultured bacterium. RNAcentral describes it as "bacterial SSU rRNA". It matches the Rfam family "Bacterial small subunit ribosomal RNA", at positions 28 to 507 of the family's 1533-position model. The record is from RNAcentral.
GAUGAACGCUAGCUACAGGCUUAACACAUGCAAGUCGAGGGGCAGCAUGAACUUAGCUUGCUAAGUUGAUGGCGACCGGCGCACGGGUGAGUAACACGUAUCCAACCUGCCGAUAACUCGGGGAUAGCCUUUCGAAAGAAAGAUUAAUACCCGAUGGCAUAAUUCUUCCGCAUGGUAGAACUAUUAAAGAAUUUCGGUCAUCGAUGGGGAUGCGUUCCAUUAGGUUGUUGGCGGGGUAACGGCCCACCAAGCCUUCGAUGGAUAGGGGUUCUGAGAGGAAGGUCCCCCACAUUGGAACUGAGACACGGUCCAAACUCCUACGGGAGGCAGCAGUGAGGAAUAUUGGUCAAUGGACGAGAGUCUGAACCAGCCAAGUAGCGUGAAGGAUGACUGCCCUAUGGGUUGUAAACUUCUUUUAUACGGGAAUAAAGUGAGGCACGUGUGCCUUUUUGUAUGUACCGUAUGAAUAAGGAUCGGCUAACUCCGUG